This 253-nucleotide ribosomal RNA is filed under the name uncultured bacterium. RNAcentral's name for it is "partial 16S ribosomal RNA". It matches the Rfam family "Bacterial small subunit ribosomal RNA", at positions 524 to 776 of the family's 1533-position model. The record is from RNAcentral.
UACGGGGGGUGCGAGCGUUGUCCGGAAUCACUGGGCGUAAAGGGCGCGUAGGUGGUUUGAUAAGGGUGUGGUGAAAGUCCGGGGCUCAACCCCGGAUCUGCCGUGCCGACUGUCAAACUCGAGGACUGUAGAGGCAGACGGAAUUCCGGGUGUAGCGGUGGAAUGCGUAGAGAUCCGGAGGAAUACCGAUGGCGAAGGCAGCCUCCUGGGCCAACACUGACGCUCAUGCACGAAAGCGUGGGGAGCAAACAGG